CGGGCUUUGAACCUGUGCGGGGUCUUGAAUGGGGUUCAAUAGGUCCCGGGUUCAAAUCCCGGCAGCCCGA
Molecule: transfer RNA, 70 nt
Filed under: Chthoniobacterales bacterium
Lineage: Bacteria; Pseudomonadati; Verrucomicrobiota; Spartobacteria; Chthoniobacterales
Description: tRNA-OTHER
Source: RNAcentral